GACGAACGCUGGCGGCGUGCUUAACACAUGCAAGUCGAACGGUAAAGCGCCUUCCUUUGUUGCGUGGGUGGAUGAGGGGCGAACGGGUGAGUAACACUUGAGUAACCUGCCCCCUUCUUCGGGAUAACCUCAUGAAAGUAUGUCUAAUACGGGAUAUUCUGGGUCUGUCGCAUGAUGGGUUUGGGAAAGAUAUUGUUUCGGUGGGGGAUGGGCGCGCGGCCUAUCAGCUUGUUGGUGGGGUGAUGGCCUAGCAAGGCGGUGACGGGUAGCCGGCCUGGGAGGGUGGACGGUCAGACUGGGAAUGAGGCACGGCCAAGACUGCGACGAGAGGCAGCCGUGAGGAAUAUUGGAGGCAGGGGGGAGGAAUGAUGCAGAGAGGCCGAGAGAGGGAUGGAGGCAUUCGGGUUGUGAACUUCAUUCGGGAGUGAAGCAGGGCUGCCUCGUUUGUGGGUGGAUUGACGGUAGCUGGAUAAGAAGCGCCGGCUAACUCCGUG
RNAcentral lists this ribosomal RNA (494 nucleotides) under uncultured bacterium. Its description in RNAcentral is "partial 16S ribosomal RNA". It matches the Rfam family "Bacterial small subunit ribosomal RNA", at positions 28 to 507 of the family's 1533-position model. The record is from RNAcentral.